Molecule: long non-coding RNA, 1271 nt
Organism: Brassica oleracea var. oleracea
Lineage: Eukaryota; Viridiplantae; Streptophyta; Magnoliopsida; Brassicales; Brassicaceae
Exons: 6
Source: RefSeq, a predicted model, not a curated record
ACGCAGCGCCUCUUCGUUACUCGACGGCGCCUGUUCUGCUUCCAUGGUCUUUGAAAGUGCCCGAUUAAUGGCUUAUGUGUGGUUAACAUCUGCGAGGCCGUAGACUCACCGCCGGUGCGAUGUAUUCAAUCUCAGAUUCUGGGAAGCCAGAAACGUUAAAGAUUCAGGCGUAAUCUGAACAUGGGGCCGAAAUCACGAUCGACGCCGAUAUCAGCAUCGUCGCUGGCGUCGUCUGCUUCGCCGAGCGGGAAACGAGCAAGAGAUCCAGAAGACGAGGUAUAUCUCGAUAACGUCUGCUCCCAGAAACGUUAUCUCAGCAAGUUUAAACGGGCUUACAGUCGGAGACUCAGGCUCCGUCAACAUGUUAGACUCUCCUUCUCACUCUGAGACCUUUCUUUAUCCCAACAACCACAGGGAUGACUUGCCAUUACAAUACUCUCCCAUGUCAGAAGACAUCGACGAAGCUAGAUUCUGCGAGGACCAAUUAACAAGCACUUUGCUUUUUCGGUCAAAAUAUUUAUUUCACUCUUAAGGAGAUAGUUUCAAUUCUGUUUGUUGAUUUCAGAAACAGAACAUCUUAUUUGUAUGACAUGGAUAGAGAUGAUGAGCAGUGCCUUGCGAGAAUUCAUGAGCGUUCCUAUGCUGAGAAUAGUGCUUCUUAUGAGAUCAUUGAGGACAUGUUUGAGAAGGCUUCGUAUGUAAAACAACUUGAUCACUUUACCUUAAUCGAAAUUCAAGAACUGAUGGCCGGAGUUAGAUCCUUGGAAGCAAUGGAAACAAUAUAUGAGCUUUGAAGAACCAAGAGGCAGAUCAAGGGAAUGCCACUAAUCAGGCAUCUUCAGAUUUCAAAAGUCAAAACAUGCAUUGCUAGGCGCUAUAUAGAUCGUUAUGUACUUGGGCUGACCUUCAAAUACUCACUAUCUCUCAGCAUCUUGGGCGAAGGAGGGCAGUGAUGAUGAUGGAGAUGCAUGUGAACAUCUCAGGGCAUACUAAGGUUGACGUUGGUGGUAAUGAUCGUGAAGAAUCACCAACUAUAGGAACAGCAUCACCAUCAUCUUCCAAGGUUGUCAAGAAGGCCAAAAUCGCAUAGGUGAAAAUCAUGAAGUAUCUGGACGCAGUAUUUUCUAUUUGAAUAAUGCUAAGGCAUCAAUUUUUUUUCUUCUGCCGGUUGCUAAGUUUUUCAGACAGUCUUCAAAAGUUCUGCUUAAGUUUGAACUAAUAUAAAGAUAUUUAGCACAUGUACUUUGCUCUCCAAGUUUCAGUUUAUAUUC